This 31-nucleotide non-coding RNA is filed under the name Rattus norvegicus (Norway rat). Lineage: Eukaryota; Metazoa; Chordata; Mammalia; Rodentia; Muridae. The record is from RNAcentral.
UAAUGUUGAAUAUUGUGAAAGAGCCUGGUGU